UACGGAGGAUGCGAGCGUUAUCCGGAUUUAUUGGGUUUAAAGGGUGCGUAGGCGGGCUUUUAAGUCAGCGGUAAAAAUUCGGGGCUCAACCCCGUCCGGCCGUUGAAACUGGGGGCCUUGAGUGGGCGAGAAGAAGGCGGAACGCGUGGUGUAGCGGUGAAAUGCGUAGAUAUCACGCAGAACCCCGAUUGCGAAGGCAGCCUUCCGGCGCCCUACUGACGCUGAGGCACGAAAGUGCGGGGAUCGAACAGG
RNAcentral lists this ribosomal RNA (252 nucleotides) under uncultured bacterium. RNAcentral's name for it is "partial 16S ribosomal RNA". It matches the Rfam family "Bacterial small subunit ribosomal RNA", at positions 524 to 776 of the family's 1533-position model. The record is from RNAcentral.